RNAcentral lists this ribosomal RNA (517 nucleotides) under uncultured bacterium. RNAcentral's name for it is "bacterial SSU rRNA". It matches the Rfam family "Bacterial small subunit ribosomal RNA", at positions 28 to 531 of the family's 1533-position model. The record is from RNAcentral.
GAUGAACGCUAGCGAUAGGCCUAACACAUGCAAGUCGAGGGGCAUCACAUGAAGUAGCAAUACGGAUGGUGGCGACCGGCGCACGGGUGAGUAACACGUAUGCAACCUGCCUUCAACAAGGGGAUAACCCGUUGAAAGACGGACUAAUACCCUAUAACACAGGGGUCCCGCAUGGGAAUAUUUGUUAAAGGACAACCGGUUGAAGAUGGGCAUGCGUUCCAUUAGCUAGUUGGCGGGGUAACGGCCCACCAAGGCAACGAUGGAUAGGGGAACUGAGAGGUUUAUCCCCCACACUGGUACUGAGACACGGACCAGACUCCUACGGGAGGCAGCAGUGAGGAAUAUUGGUCAAUGGACGCAAGUCUGAACCAGCCACGUCGCGUGAAGGAAGACGGCCCUACGGGUUGUAAACUUCUUUUAUACGGGAAUAAAGUGCCCCACGCGUGGGGUUUUGGCAUGUACCGUAUGAAUAAGGAGUCGGCUAACUCCGUGCCAGCGCCGCGGUAAUUACGCAGCG